AUCUUAAAUUUUUUAAAAACAUACUUUUGAUUUUAUGGUGAAAUUGAAGAUUUUAUUUAUAUGUAUUUAAGAUUAUAAAAUUUAAUGAACGAACCAGAUUAGUACCUGGUUAGAUAAAAAUUAAAAGGGCAGGAGUAAAGUUGAAUUUAAACUGUAAUAAUAUUGGCAGGCUUUUAAAUUAUCUUUGGAGGCUGAGUAGUAAUUGAGAGCCCUCAUUUACAACUCUUGUUUUAGGCUCAUGUAUGAUCGUUUAUUUUAUUCUUAAGGAUUGUAAUUUUAGUUUUUUAUCUGUUAAAAUAGAUAUAUACUUGGUUAAUACAGGAGGUUAAUUUGGCCUACAAUGUUAUAUUUUUUGGAUAGUAUUGGUAGUCAAUGUUUGAAAUUGUAAAAGACAGUAAAGCCUUUUUAAUAUAGGAUUGAAGUUUAUUUAAAAGCGGUACAAAUCAUCCAUCAAUUGCCUAUAGGGGAG
RNAcentral lists this non-coding RNA (469 nucleotides) under Contracaecum chubutensis. Lineage: Eukaryota; Metazoa; Nematoda; Chromadorea; Rhabditida; Anisakidae. The record is from RNAcentral.